Molecule: long non-coding RNA, 275 nt
Filed under: Elaeis guineensis (African oil palm)
Lineage: Eukaryota; Viridiplantae; Streptophyta; Magnoliopsida; Arecales; Arecaceae
Description: long non-coding RNA (EGUI_LNC049112)
Source: RNAcentral
CUUUCCCCUUCUCCCCGUGCCUCUGUGCACGAUUACCGGCGACGGUUGUCGUCGAUUUUUAAUCGGAGAAGAGACCCCUGUUUGGUCUCUUCUUCCCUUUGAUUUUCCAGUGCCGGCGAUCACAAUCGACCACCGGCCUUGCCUCUCCAAACUCGGGAGAGUUGUCCCCCUCUACCGCCGGCCUCCGCCGUGUCGGCCGUGGCCUGAACGGUCGGGUAAGGGAGGGGACCUGCCAGUCCCCUACUUCGGCCAGGAAGGAGCCCGAGAAAAAGAAG